This is a long non-coding RNA of Phyllopteryx taeniolatus (common seadragon), 1795 nucleotides long. RefSeq lists it as uncharacterized. The transcript has 4 exons. Lineage: Eukaryota; Metazoa; Chordata; Actinopteri; Syngnathiformes; Syngnathidae. The record is from RefSeq and is a predicted model, not a curated record.
GCCAAGUAGUGAACUCUAUUUUGAAAAGUGCUUUAUCAACUCCCACUCAAAUUCCACUUGAAUUAACUGACUUCCUUGCAAUCAAUUAACUCAUUCCCUGCCAAUACCGUGCAAAGACGUUAUUAAGAAUCCAUCUAUUCCCUGCCAAUGCCUUCUAAAAAUGUCCAUGGCGUUUUUUUAACGGGGAUGGGUGGGGGAGGGUCUUGAGCAGUUUAUGUGUGAUAGUCAAGUCUCUGGAUAACUGCAAUGAGGAUUGGUACUCUGUAGAGGGCAACAAUACCCUGAGGUGAAUGUCCCACCCUCAGAGGAAGAAGAGGAAGAAGAAGGAGGGGACGGGCCGGUGGGCUACAAGAGACAAUUAGAAGAGAAACAUAACGGUGGAAAAGAGAGAAGACAAAAUGAAAAAAAUCUAAAAAAAAAAAAAAGCUUUCGGUGCUAGAUAUUUAUUGCACCAAGGCAAGAAAACUAUUCCUGCGACAGACAGGAAUGACGCCUUAGAUCAUGCGGGGAAUCAAGGAUGACGCUCCGAGCCGAUCGCUUUGUUCCAAAGCUAUCGCGCAAAAUGCCGGCCCAUACAUAUGGCGGGAUGCUCUCGGCCGCUUGCUGGCUGAUCGUCUGCUGAACAGGAUUUGAAUAAAUGGGAUCCGGAAUCGUCAGAGAGUGAACUCCCUUUUGGAUAGCCUGGCGAGCUUCCUCCGAUGAAGAUCGACGAAGUCCGGCGAAUACGAAGGAAUUCAACACCCACGAGUUCAGGGUCUUUUAGGAUUGCGAAGAAGAAAAACUUACAGGUUAUGCAUCCAGCAGACAUUCAACUCCCAUUCUAGUACGCAGUGCAGACACAAAAAGGUUCUGCUUCGAGCAGAAGUAGUGACGGGUUUCAAGGAGAAUGACAACCACACAAGAUCCCAUUCAAUGGCAACAGAUGAAUAAAAUAAGAUGUGGAUAAAACUUCGCUAGAUUUUAUGCGCAAGGUAAUAAAAACCUGGACUAUUGAGCAAAUGGUAGAGGAGGAGAAUUUGGAGGAAAAAAGUACAAGUGUGUGAGGCCCAUUUGUUCAUGCAUUUCUGUCUAAUGUAAAUUCUGUACAUAGUUAUACUUCCAUCCAUCCAUUUUCUCAUAUCCUCACAAGGGUCGCAGGAGUGCUGGAGCCUAUCCCAGCUAUCAUCGAGUAGGAGGCGGGGUACACCCUGAACUGGUUGAUAGUUAUACUUGUGAAUAAAUACAUUUUCAGUCAAAAGUACUUUCUCAGUAUUGUUUUAUGUUCAGAUGUUUGAGAUUUUCACUAAAUAAAAAAAUAUUGGUGUCAAAGUCAUUGUUCUGCUUUAUGUGUCUGCUUUCACAAAAAGGCUGUUUUCUUGUUUUUUUUCUUCCAGAAACAGAUUUGGCUGAAAGUACUCUAUAUUUGACUGCUGAUAACUAAAGAACGGUAUAAGCAAGAGACAAACAUUUCUGAUGAAAGAAGAGAGUCGGAUCUUUCAUUUGGUGGUUUUGGUGUUUACAUCGUCAUAGUACAUAAUAUUCUGCGGGGUUUGGAAAAUCAGUGAAAUUGCUCAAACAUGCCUGGCAGUUUAGGGGUUCCCUGCUCUGGAAAUGGCUGGCGGUGAAUGAGUUCAUCGAUACUGUUCCACUACAGUGUAACCCCGUGUCCUGCUUCGCACUUGGAAGAGGUAAUCGAACAUUUCUGGGUUUGGACGAUUAUCGACACCAGCAGAAAUAUGUACGGGAAUGAAGUUUCAUUCCAACGGCAAUGACGUAACAUGAAAAAGACGUUGCUUGGAUGGCAGCAUAUUUUUCU